RNAcentral lists this transfer RNA (68 nucleotides) under Tomopleura sp. JEU-2016. RNAcentral's name for it is "tRNA-Ala". The record is from RNAcentral. Lineage: Eukaryota; Metazoa; Mollusca; Gastropoda; Neogastropoda; Conidae.
GACUUGAUACUUUAAAUUUAAAAGGUCUGAUUUGCAUUUAGAUAAUAAGUCAAGAGGCUUUCAGGUCA